RNAcentral lists this ribosomal RNA (264 nucleotides) under uncultured bacterium. RNAcentral's name for it is "partial 16S ribosomal RNA". It matches the Rfam family "Bacterial small subunit ribosomal RNA", at positions 337 to 618 of the family's 1533-position model. The record is from RNAcentral.
CCCUACGGGGGGCAGCAGUGGGGAAUAUUGGGCAAUGGGCGCAAGCCUGACCCAGCAACGCCGCGUGGGUGAAGAAGUACUCCGGUAUGUAAAGCCCUGUCAGCAGGGAAGAAAAUGACGGUACCUGACCAAGAAGCCCCGGCUAACUACGUGCCAGCAGCCGCGGUAAUACGUAGGGGGCAAGCGUUAUCCGGAUUUACUGGGUGUAAAGGGAGCGUAGACGGCAAGGCAAGUCUGGAGUGAAAGCCCGUGGCCCAACCACGG